This 496-nucleotide ribosomal RNA is filed under the name uncultured bacterium. RNAcentral describes it as "partial 16S ribosomal RNA". It matches the Rfam family "Bacterial small subunit ribosomal RNA", at positions 29 to 507 of the family's 1533-position model. The record is from RNAcentral.
AUGAACGCUGGCGGCGUGCCUAAUACAUGCAGGUCGAGCGAACAGACGAGGAGCUUGCUCCUUUGAUGUUAGCGGCGGACGGGUGAGUAACCCGUGGAUAACCUACCUAUAAGACUGGGAUAACUUCGGGAAACCGGAGCUAAUACCGGAUAACAUGUUGAACCGCAUGGUUCAACAGUGAAAGACGGUCUUGCUGUCACUUAUAGAUGGAUCCGCGCCGCAUUAGCUAGUUGGUAAGGUAACGGCUUACCAAGGCAACGAUGCGUAGCCGACCUGAGAGGGUGAUCGGCCACACUGGAACUGAGACACGGUCCAGACUCCUACGGGAGGCAGCAGUAGGGAAUCUUCCGCAAUGGGCGAAAGCCUGACAGAGCAACGCCGCGUGAGUGAAGAAGGUCUUCGGAUCGUAAAACUCUGUUAUUAGGGAAGAACAAAUGUGUAAGUAACUAUGCACGUCUUGACGGUACCUAAUCAGAAAGCCACGGCUAACUACGUG